CAUGAGAUAGGGUCUAGGGUUUCUUUCUAGCCUUAGGCAUUGGGUUUGGGAAGAGAAAAAAUAAGAAAGAAAUGAGUUUUUCCUCUUCACCCUCUUCUACCACCUCUUCUUCCUCCUAAAAGUCUUCCUCUUCUCUGGAGGAGUCCGAGAGAUUCGAAGAAGAUUUUAGUUCAGCCAUCAAGAGAAGAAGUCUGCAAAAGAGCUAGCAUCCCAGUGACUUCGACAAUCUCUGAUCGUGCAAGGUGCCUUAUGUAGAUACCUAUGGAGGUCGGGUGCUUGCAUGGCUUGAGGAACC
This 295-nucleotide long non-coding RNA is filed under the name Elaeis guineensis (African oil palm). RNAcentral describes it as "long non-coding RNA (EGUI_LNC057043)". The record is from RNAcentral. Lineage: Eukaryota; Viridiplantae; Streptophyta; Magnoliopsida; Arecales; Arecaceae.